RNAcentral lists this ribosomal RNA (219 nucleotides) under uncultured bacterium. Its description in RNAcentral is "partial 16S ribosomal RNA". It matches the Rfam family "Bacterial small subunit ribosomal RNA", at positions 112 to 334 of the family's 1533-position model. The record is from RNAcentral.
AAUGCAUAGGAAUCUGCCCAGUAGUGGGGGAUAACUCGAAGAAAUUCGAGCUAAUACCGCAUAUGUCCCACGGGACAAAGCAGGGGACCUUCGGGCCUUGCGCUAUUGGAUGAGCCUAUGUCGGAUUAGCUAGUUGGUAGGGUAAAAGCCUACCAAGGCAACGAUCCGUAGCUGGUCUGAGAGGAUGAUCAGCCACACUGGGACUGAGACACGGCCCAG